CAGGAGACGCGGUGGCGCCGGCCUGCAAACGGAGUCGGUGUCCCGCGGUGGGGGCAGGAGAACCGCCCCAAGGCGAGGAAGUCCAACCGGUUGGGCGGGCUAAGCCUCGCCCUCCCGCGAAAUGGAAAAACCCUCGUGGUGAGGAGUUCUGGGGCCUGAUUUUUAUAGAGCCCUCUCCUGACCCGGACUAGUUCCAUUCCUCCUACUGAGCUUCGCAGAGAGCCCCGAGGGGGUACAGUUCCUCGCGUCGUGCAGCGGGAAACCGACUCUUAGAAAGGUUGCGGAACGUGCCUAGGGUCCCGCCGGGAGUGGCCCGGCUAGGAUUUGAACCCGAGUCGUCCAGCCUGCAAAAGCCCGGUGCUCUCUGACGUUAGCGCUGCGCGCCCAGGGCCGAGACGGCGUCCCCUAACAGCGCCGACAACCGGGGUGCCUUGGGUGUGACUGGAACCCGCGGCCAGGGGCCACCCUUCCCAGGUUUGGCGGGCGCUGCCCCUGCGGCGGCCGAGGGUCGGCGGGAGCGGCGCGGGGCUGUUACCAAAGGAGCAGCAAGGAGCUGGUCUGCUGUGCAGUGAGGCCUGGAUUUUGAGUCCAGGAUGGAGAGAAACAGAUCCCAGGGAUUUUUGGGAAGAUAGAGGACAAUCUGCAGCUGCUAUGAGAACAGAAUUGGUGGUGGAAGAGUGCUCUCAAAUUUGCCCAGCCAAGAUUUCUUAUACUUCAAAGACAAAUGGUGACAAGGCUUAACCGAGGAGCAUACUGCCCAGUGCCUUACAGUAAUGUCACUGGCUUAAUGCCACAAAUAUUGUAAAUUGCCAAAUGAGAAUGAUUCCCGCCCGUCUCUUUUAUAUUUUGAGGAAAGAGAGAAUGUUUUGGUGAUGUGGGACUUUCUUCAGUAUCUAUGGGUUGUGAAUAGUAUAAGCAAUGAGAGGAAGACACCAUGUUGGGCAGUUUUUCACGGAACUUUGGGAGAUGGAAAGAAUACAUUACAAGGAUUUCUCCUUUCUCCAGAAGGCUGACUUAAAGGUAUAGCAAAUUUGGAAAGCAAAAUUACCUGAAUCCUCACUAGCUUCUACUCCCUGCUUCUUGUCUCUGUGCCCAGCAGAAGAUUCUGAGGUUAUUAAUCUUCCUGGCGAAGGUCCCAGAAACCCCCAAAGAACAUUUUGGUUUGACUAAAUUGAAAUAAUAUUUACUGCCAUCCUACUAUGUGCCCUACACUGUGCUAGUCACUUGGUAACAGAGUUACUGCAACAGAAACAGCUGCCUCCCCUUCUUUCAUGACGAAAGAGCAUCCAAACUUCAGUUGUCCACAUGGCUUUCAAGUCUAAAGUCUGCCUUUCCUGCAACUAGGAGUAGGCUUAGGACUAAAUUCAGCAGACCAAAUAUCAGCAGAAAUGUCAUAUAGCCGCUUCCAGGCACCUUCCUUAUGAAACAGAAAUAUGUAAGCCCUUUGCACAGUCUCCUUUAUCGUUCCUCUGUCCGGCUGCCCGCGGCUUGUGUCCUGACAUCCUAGACCUAGGUAUGGCACACAACAAAGUGGAAGAAGCCUGGCUCUCUGACAUCAUGGAGCACCACACAAAAAAGACCAAAGGCCUACAAGAGAACGGGAAUCAUAGGAGUCACGUUUUCUGAAUUAAAAAGAUCAAUAAAGAGGGGUGCCUGGGUUGGUUAAGCAUUGGCCUUCAGCUCAGGUCCUGAUUUCAGGGUCCUGGAUUGAGCCCCACAUGGGGGCUCCCUGCUCCAC
Long non-coding RNA from Canis lupus familiaris (dog), 1738 nucleotides. RefSeq lists it as uncharacterized. The record is from RefSeq and is a predicted model, not a curated record. Lineage: Eukaryota; Metazoa; Chordata; Mammalia; Carnivora; Canidae. The transcript is spliced from 3 exons.